Long non-coding RNA from Pan troglodytes (chimpanzee), 987 nucleotides. RefSeq lists it as uncharacterized. The record is from RefSeq and is a predicted model, not a curated record. Lineage: Eukaryota; Metazoa; Chordata; Mammalia; Primates; Hominidae. The transcript is spliced from 4 exons.
UACCCAGUCAUUACAGAGAGCCAGUUGAGUAAGAUUUUUGUUAAGGAAAGAUAGAUGUCUUUGCUUCUUUAAAGGUGUCAUAUGUCAAUCUCAAAUCUUACCUUGAUCAUAAGCAACCAUUGUUUGCUUACCUGUUGCAUCACUGAAGCAAAAUAAGUCAUACUAGCCACAAAAACAAGACUAACAUUGGAUUUCCACAGCUCUUUCGGCAGUGGGCUGGAAAGUGCUAUUAAAACAUGGCUGUUUCAUAAUUUCCCUAUUGGCUUCUGGGUUUCCUGCUAAAAAAUCCCUCCAACAUCGGCUGGGCGCGGUGGCUCACGCCUGUAAUCCCAGCUACUCAGGAGGCUGAGGCAGGAGAAUCACUUGAACCUGGGAGGUGGAGGUUGCAGUGAGCCGAGAUAGCACCAUUGCACUCCAGAAAUGCGGUCUCACUACGUUGCCCAGGCUGGUCUUGAAUUCCUGGUCUCAAGCCGCCCUCCCACCUAAGCCUUCCAAAGUGCUGGCAUUACAGAAAAUGGUAAACAAGGGAAAGAAAGAGGAGUUCCAGACCGUGCAUACCAAAAUAUUACAGACACACAGGAAAUGACUCUUCAAAUCCAGGCUGUAAACCUGUCAUUUCGUGGGCUUGUCUGUGGGCCUAGAAAAGCGAGACAAAGAUCACACCGAAGACAUUACUGUUUGGGGCUGGCUGUACUGGAGGACCUCUGGAGGCCUUUCCAUGCCAGGUGCUAUGAUUCUAAACUCAAGUCAUAAAAUGAAAUGUUAGAGGAAAGCCAAUGAAAUUUGAGGCAGAACUUGUGGCUUAAAGCUCAUUUUGCUUUAAAAAAUGUAGACUUUGAAAAACUGUUCUUUACAAGCAACAAAAAUUUUUUAAAGAAACUGAAAAGCUAAAAAGUAUUUUUUUGGGGGAGGGAGUAAUAUUCUCAGCCCUAUUACUAUCUUUUAAGGCUUUCGAUUACAGAUACUCCAAACAUGUAAUAAGUUACU